Molecule: ribosomal RNA, 253 nt
Filed under: uncultured bacterium
Lineage: Bacteria
Description: partial 16S ribosomal RNA
Rfam family: Bacterial small subunit ribosomal RNA
Source: RNAcentral
UACGUAGGGUGCGAGCGUUAAUCGGAAUUACUGGGCGUAAAGCGUGCGCAGGCGGUUUUGUAAGUCUGUCGUGAAAUCCCCGGGCUUAACCUGGGAAUUGCGAUGGAGACUGCAAGGCUAGAAUCUGGCAGAGGGGGGUAGAAUUCCACGUGUAGCAGUGAAAUGCGUAGAGAUGUGGAGGAACACCGAUGGCGAAGGCAGCCCCCUGGGUCAAGAUUGACGCUCAUGCACGAAAGCGUGGGGAGCAAACAGG